UGGGGAAUAUUGCACAAUGGGCGAAAGCCUGAUGCAGCAACGCCGCGUGAGGGACGACGGCCUUCGGGUUGUAAACCUCUUUUAGCAAGGAAGAAGCGAAAGUGACGGUACUUGCAGAAAAAGCGCCGGCUAACUACGUGCCAGCAGCCGCGGUAAUACGUAGGGCGCAAGCGUUAUCCGGAAUUAUUGGGCGUAAAGAGCUCGUAGGCGGUUUGUCGCGUCUGCUGUGAAAACCCGAGGCUCAACCUCGGGCCUGCAGUGGGUACGGGCAGACUAGAGUGCGGUAGGGGAGAUUGGAACUCCUGGUGUAGCGGUGGAAUGCGCAGAUAUCAGGAAGAACACCGAUGGCGAAGGCAGAUCUCUGGGCCGUAACUGACGCUGAGGAGCGAAAGGGUGGGGAGCAAAACAGGCUUAGAUACCCUGGUAGUCCACCCCGUAAACGUUGGGAACUAGUUGUGGGGUCCAUUCCACGGAUUCCGUGACGCAGCUAACGCAUUAAGUUCCCCGCCUGGGGAGUACGGCCGCAAGGCUAAAACUCAAAUG
RNAcentral lists this ribosomal RNA (543 nucleotides) under uncultured bacterium. RNAcentral's name for it is "partial 16S ribosomal RNA". It matches the Rfam family "Bacterial small subunit ribosomal RNA", at positions 355 to 907 of the family's 1533-position model. The record is from RNAcentral.